AACUCUCUGUAGUGCUUCUCUGUGUGCUUCUGAAUUCAUGAGCAGAGACAACACUGAGAUCUUUGAAGGGGUUUGGAGAAACUGCUCCACCACAUUAAACUCACUUCAUUUAAUCAAUCGAAGUACCUCAUCAUCAUCGUUGGCCUUCACAUUGUUGGAUUUACCAGACUUACCCUAACAACUGAUUCCUCUUUAUCCUUUGGGAACACCGGCCCAAAC
RNAcentral lists this long non-coding RNA (219 nucleotides) under Lathyrus oleraceus (garden pea). Its description in RNAcentral is "Pisum sativum (pea) long non-coding RNA (PSAT_LNC017352)". Lineage: Eukaryota; Viridiplantae; Streptophyta; Magnoliopsida; Fabales; Fabaceae. The record is from RNAcentral.